This 485-nucleotide ribosomal RNA is filed under the name uncultured Aeromicrobium sp. RNAcentral describes it as "bacterial SSU rRNA". It matches the Rfam family "Bacterial small subunit ribosomal RNA", at positions 1 to 507 of the family's 1533-position model. Lineage: Bacteria; Bacillati; Actinomycetota; Actinomycetes; Propionibacteriales; Nocardioidaceae. The record is from RNAcentral.
AGGUAGUUUGAUCCUGGCUACAGGACGAACGCUGGCGGCGUGCUUAACACAUGCAAGUCGAGCGGUAAGGCCCUUCGGGGUACACGAGCGGCGAACGGGUGAGUAACACGUGAGCAAUCUGCCCUUCUCUUUGGAAUAACCAUUGGAAACGAUGGCUAAUGCCGAAUAUGAACCCCUUUCGCAUGUUGGGGGUUGGAAAGCUCCGGCGGAGAAGGAUGAGCUCGCGGCCUAUCAGCUUGUUGGUGAGGUAAUGGCUCACCAAGGCAUUGACGGGUAGCCGGCCUGAGAGGGUGACCGGCCACACUGGGACUGAGACACGGCCCAGACUCCUACGGGAGGCAGCAGUGGGGAAUAUUGGACAAUGGGCGAAAGCCUGAUCCAGCAACGCCGCGUGAGGGAUGACGGCCUUCGGGUUGUAAACCUCUUUCAGCAGGGACGAAGCGAAAGUGACGGUACCUGCAGAAGAAGGACCGGCCAACUACGUG